RNAcentral lists this ribosomal RNA (253 nucleotides) under uncultured bacterium. RNAcentral's name for it is "partial 16S ribosomal RNA". It matches the Rfam family "Bacterial small subunit ribosomal RNA", at positions 524 to 776 of the family's 1533-position model. The record is from RNAcentral.
UACGUAGGGCGCAAGCGUUGUCCGGAAUUAUUGGGCGUAAAGAGCUCGUAGGCGGUUUGUCGCGUCUGCUGUGAAAACCUCAGGCUCAACCUGGGGCUUGCAGUGGGUACGGGCAGACUAGAGUGCGGUAGGGGUGACUGGAAUUCCUGGUGUAGCGGUGGAAUGCGCAGAUAUCAGGAGGAACACCGAUGGCGAAGGCAGGUCACUGGGCCGCAACUGACGCUGAGGAGCGAAAGCCUGGGGAGCGAACAGG